GUCAGCUCUGCUUAGCUUUCUGACAAAGUCCCAGAUAUUCCCGAGACGUUUCACUGCAAUCCAGUCUGCUACCUGGAAGUCAGAUUGCCUAACUCCACUUGUCACCGGUCACUGAGGGCAGGGAGAGGACCACCCUGUUGCACAAUGAGGACAGAUCUGCUAGGACCUGAUUACUGAAAAUCGCCUCAAAGAAUGUGGGAGCACCCCUGGGACUGUUCUACACAGGCUUGUUGCUUUAGGGUCUCUUGUUUUGUCAGCAUCGUCUGAAAAUAAUGAAUAAUCCAAGAUUUGCUAUUGUGGCUACCCACUGGCUUUGCUUUCUAGAAACACAUCCAAUCCUGACCUGUCCUCUAAUGACCUAGUGCACAGGAUUAAGAACAAGUCUAUGGUGAAAUCAGAAGAAUCACUGAUUUGGGAAGAUCUCAAGCAGGGCAGCAGCCUCCUGCCUGCCGGUGACCUGCACAUGCCGGGACUUCUUCUCGUCACUGACCUCCCUCAGC
Talpa occidentalis (Iberian mole) is the source of this 500-nucleotide long non-coding RNA. RefSeq lists it as uncharacterized. The transcript is spliced from 4 exons. The record is from RefSeq and is a predicted model, not a curated record. NCBI's taxonomy places the organism in Eukaryota, Metazoa, Chordata, Mammalia, Eulipotyphla, Talpidae.